GACGAACCGAGCGAACGUUGUUCGGAAUCACUGGGCUUAAAGCGCGCGUAGGCGGGUUAUCAAGUCCGGGGUGAAAACCUCCAGCUCAACUGGAGAACUGCCUUGGAUACUGGCUGGCUAGAGGAAGGUAGGGGUGUGUGGAACGUUCAGUGGAGCGGUGAAAUGCAUUGAUAUUGAACGGAACUUCGGUGGCGAAGGCGACACACUGGACCUUUUCUGACGCUGAGGCGCGAAAGCUAGGGGAGCAAACGGG
This 253-nucleotide ribosomal RNA is filed under the name uncultured bacterium. RNAcentral describes it as "partial 16S ribosomal RNA". It matches the Rfam family "Bacterial small subunit ribosomal RNA", at positions 524 to 776 of the family's 1533-position model. The record is from RNAcentral.